Molecule: transfer RNA, 74 nt
Filed under: Candidatus Rifleibacteriota bacterium
Lineage: Bacteria; Candidatus Rifleibacteriota
Also listed under: 1 other name
Description: tRNA-Ala
Rfam family: tRNA
About the family: Transfer RNA (tRNA) molecules are approximately 80 nucleotides in length.
Source: RNAcentral
GGGGCUGUAGCUCAGUUUGGGAGAGCGCUACAUUCGCAUUGUAGAGGCCGUCGGUUCGAGCCCGAUCAGCUCCA